This 748-nucleotide ribosomal RNA is filed under the name uncultured bacterium. Its description in RNAcentral is "bacterial SSU rRNA". It matches the Rfam family "Bacterial small subunit ribosomal RNA", at positions 9 to 748 of the family's 1533-position model. The record is from RNAcentral.
GAGUUUGAUCCUGGCUCAGGAUGAACGCUAGCGGCAGGCUUAAUACAUGCAAGUCGUGGGGCAGCAUGACUGUAGCAAUACAGUUGAUGGCGACCGGCAAACGGGUGCGGAACACGUACACAACCUUCCUUCGAGUGGGGAAUAGCCCGGGGAAACCCGGAUUAAUACCCCGUAACAUAAUGAAGUGGCAUCACUUUAUUAUUAUAGCUCCGGCGCUUGAAGAUGGGUGUGCGACUGAUUAGGCAGUUGGCGGGGUAACGGCCCACCAAACCUACGAUCAGUAACUGGUGUGAGAGCACGACCAGUCACACGGGCACUGAGACACGGGCCCGACUCCUACGGGAGGCAGCAGUAAGGAAUAUUGGUCAAUGGACGCAAGUCUGAACCAGCCAUGCCGCGUGGAGGAUGAAGGCCCUCUGGGUUGUAAACUUCUUUUAUCUGGGACGAAAAAGGGACUUUCUAGUUCAACUGACGGUACCAGAGGAAUAAGCACCGGCUAACUCCGUGCCAGCAGCCGCGGUAAUACGGAGGGUGCAAGCGUUAUCCGGAUUCACUGGGUUUAAAGCGUGUGUAGGCGGAUUGCUAAGUACCUUGUGAAAUCCCACGGCUUAACCGUGGAACUGCUUGGUAUACUGGCUGUCUUGAGCCACUCAGGGGCAACCGGAACAAACGGUGGAGCGGUGAAAUGCGUAGAUAUCGUUUGGAACGCCAACGGUGAAAACAGGUUGCUGGGGGUGUGCUGACGCUG